UCCCUGAUGGUCUAGCGGUUAAGACUCUGCACUUCCAAUGCAGGGGGCUUGGGUUUGACCCCUGAUCAGAGAA
This 73-nucleotide transfer RNA is filed under the name Ovis aries (sheep). It matches the Rfam family "tRNA". From Rfam's summary of the family: Transfer RNA (tRNA) molecules are approximately 80 nucleotides in length. Their secondary structure includes four short double-helical elements and three loops (D, anti-codon, and T loops). The record is from Rfam by way of RNAcentral. Lineage: Eukaryota; Metazoa; Chordata; Mammalia; Artiodactyla; Bovidae.